GAGUCGGACCUGCCCAGUGACGUAGUUUAACGGCCGCGGUACUCUGACCGUGCAAAGGUAGCAUAAUCAUUUGCCCUAUAAUUGAGGGCUAGUAUGAAGGGUUUGACAGGAGCUUAACUGUCUCGGCAAAAUUACUUGGAAUUUAUCUUUAAGGUGAAGAGACCUUAAUUAAAUUAAAAGACAAGAAGACCCUAUCGAGCUUUAAAAUAAUAAAAGAACAAAAUUUAAAAGCUAUUUAGUAUUUUUUUUUCUUUUACGAUUUUGGUUGGGGCGACUAAGGAACAUGAGAAGCUUCUUUGGAAAUGCAAUUUUAAAAGUGUGAUCCGUGCUUCGCGAUUAAUUGAAUUAGUUACCGUAGGGAUAACAGCAUAAUCCUCUUUGAGAGCUCUAAUCGAAAAGGGGGUUUGUGACCUCGAUGUUGGACUAGAAUAUCCUGAGAGGUGCAGCCGCCU
This 452-nucleotide ribosomal RNA is filed under the name Peasiella habei. RNAcentral's name for it is "partial large subunit ribosomal RNA". It matches the Rfam family "Bacterial large subunit ribosomal RNA", at positions 1850 to 2564 of the family's 2925-position model. The record is from RNAcentral. Lineage: Eukaryota; Metazoa; Mollusca; Gastropoda; Littorinimorpha; Littorinidae.